GUCUUUUUGAUUAUAAUUUAAAGUCUAACCUGCCCAAUGAAUUAUUCAAUGGCCGCAGUACUUUAACUGUGCGAAGGUAGCAUAAUAAUUAGUUUUUUAAUUGAGAACUGGUAUGAAUGGUUGGACGAGAAAAUAACUGUCUCAGGUUAAUUUUAAUUAGAAUUUUAUUUUUAAGUUAAAAAGCUUAAAUUUUUUUAAAAGACGAGAAGACCCUAUAGAGUUUUAUAUAAAAUUUUUAUUUAAUUUAUAAGGUAUUUUUUUUAUUUUAUAUAGUUUUGAUAUUUUAUUGGGGUGAUAUAAAAAUUUAAUAAACUUUUUAUUUUUUAGGCCAUAUAUAUAUGAAUAAAUGAUCCAUUUUUUAUGAUUAAAAGAUUAAAUUACCUUAGGGAUAACAGCGUAAUUUUUUUUUAGAGUUCUUAUUGAAAAAAAAGUUUGCGACCUCGAUGUUGGAUUAAAA
Molecule: ribosomal RNA, 457 nt
Filed under: Aphodius procus
Lineage: Eukaryota; Metazoa; Arthropoda; Insecta; Coleoptera; Scarabaeidae
Description: partial 16S ribosomal RNA
Source: RNAcentral